Molecule: ribosomal RNA, 497 nt
Filed under: uncultured bacterium
Lineage: Bacteria
Description: SSU rRNA
Rfam family: Bacterial small subunit ribosomal RNA
Source: RNAcentral
AGAACGAACGCUGGCGGCGUGGAUAAGACAUGCAAGUCGGACGGGAUUUCUUUCUGUCGCAAGACAGGAAGAAGUCUAGUGGCGAACGGGUGCGUAACACGUGGGCAAUCUGCCUUAAAGUGGGGGAUAGCUCGCCGAAAGGCGAAUUAAUACCGCAUAUGAUCAGGGAAGACACCUUUCCGAAAUCAAAGCCGGGGCAACCUGGCGCUUUUUGAGGAGCCCGCGGCCUAUCAGCUUGUUGGUGAGGUAACGGCCCACCAAGGCUAUGACGGGUAGCUGGUCUGAGAGGGCGACCGGCCACACUGGGACUGAGACACGGCCCAGACUCCUACGGGAGGCAGCAGUGGGGAAUAUUGCGCAAUGGGCGGAAGCCUGACGCAGCGACGCCGCGUGCGGGAUGAAGGCCUUCGGGUUGUAAACCGCUUUCACCAGGGACGAAGCGGAAGUGACGGUACCGUGGGAAGAGCGCCGGCUAACUACGCGCCAGCAGCCGCGGU